This 865-nucleotide ribosomal RNA is filed under the name uncultured bacterium. RNAcentral's name for it is "bacterial SSU rRNA". It matches the Rfam family "Bacterial small subunit ribosomal RNA", at positions 8 to 866 of the family's 1533-position model. The record is from RNAcentral.
AGAGUUUGAUCCUGGCUCAGGAUGAACGCUGGCGGCGUGCCUAACACAUGCAAGUCGAACGGGGCGCGCCGGCGGGGGCCCUCCGGGGCUGAAGCCGGCGCCGCCCAGUGGCGGACGGGUGAGUAACGCGUGGGCAACCUGCCCCGCACUGGGGGACAACAGCCGGAAACGGCUGCUAAUACCGCAUGGGCGCACAGCCCCGCAUGGGGCGGUGCGGAAAGCCUUGGCGGUGCGGGAUGGGCCCGCGUCUGAUUAGCUUGUUGGCGGGGCAACGGCCCACCAAGGCGACGAUCAGUAGCCGGCCUGAGAGGGUGGGCGGCCACAUUGGGACUGAGACACGGCCCAAACUCCUACGGGAGGCAGCAGUGGGGGAUAUUGCACAAUGGGGGGAACCCUGAUGCAGCGACGCCGCGUGGGCGAUGGAGCGCCUCGGCGCGUAAAGCCCUAUCAGCAGGGAAGAAAAUGACGGUACCUGACUAAGAAGCCCCGGCUAAAUACGUGCCAGCAGCCGCGGUAAUACGUAUGGGGCAAGCGUUAUCCGGAUUUACUGGGUGUAAAGGGAGCGCAGGCGGCCUGGCAAGCCUGAUGUGAAAUACCGGGGCCCAACCCCGGGGCUGCAUUGGGAACUGCCAGGCUGGAGUGCCGGAGAGGCAGGCGGAAUUCCUAGUGUAGCGGUGAAAUGCGUAGAUAUUAGGAGGAACACCAGUGGCGAAGGCGGCUUACUGGACUGUAACUGACGUUGAGGCUCGAAAGCGUGGGGAGCAAACAGGAUUAGAUACCCUGGUAGUCCACGCCGUAAACGAUGAUUACUAGGUUGUUGGGGGACCCAAGGUCCCUUCCGGUGCCGGCGCAAACCCAUUAAGUA